UUUUGAGGAUGCCGGAUUAAGUACGCGCAAAUGCGGGUGAGAACCCCGCACACCGUAAACCCAAGGAUUCCUGCGCCAUGGCAAUCAGCGCAGGGUGAGGCGGACCCUAUGGCGAGGCCCCAGAGGCGUAGUCGAUGGAUAGCCGGUUAAUAUUCCGGCCCCGUCUUGUAGUCGUUGAAGCAUCCAGGGACCCUGGAACGAAGCGCGGGCGGUCUUGUGGAUUGACCGUUCAAGGGUGUAGGGAAACCGAGACCUGAGUACGAGGAUGCGGGCUUGCCCAAAUCCAAGUCGUGUGGAGUCAGCAGGCAAGAAAAGCUGGGUGUGGAGGCUGCGAGAUGUCCGUACCGCAAACCGACACAGGUGGGUUAGGCGAGUAGCCUCAGGUGAACGAGUGAAACGUGGUCAAGGAACUCGGCAUAAUGAUCCCGUAACUUCGGAAGAAGGGAUGCCUUUUCAGGCUGCCAGACUUGCUCUGGUUGCUCGAAGAGGCCGCAGAGAAUCGACUCAAGCGACUGUUUAGCAAAAACACGGGUGCGUGCCAAGCCGCAUAAGGCGCCGUAUACGCACUGACUCCUGCCCGGUGCCGGAAGGUUAAGGGGAGAGGUUAGCCGCAAGGCGAAGCUUUGAUCCGAAGCCCCGGUAAACGGCGGCCGUAACAAUAACGGUCCUAAGGUAGCAAAUUCCUUGUCGGGUAAGUUCCGACCUGCACGAAUGGAGUAACGACUUGAGUACUGUCUCGACCACGUGCUCGGCGAAAUAGCAGUCUCGGUGAGGAUUCCGAGUCCCCGCGACAGGACAAAAAGACCCCAUGCACCUUUACUGCAGCUUGUUAUUGACGAUUGCAUAAGACUGUUAGCAUAGGUGGGAGCCGUUGAGACGGGGGCGCUAGCUCUCGUGGAGGCAACAGUGAAAUACCACCCUGUGUUCUGUGAUCGUCUCACCGCGGUAGGCAAACCCUACCCGGGACCGUGACAGGUGGGCAGUUUGACUGGGGCGGUCGCCUCCGAAAGAGUAACGGAGGCGCGCGAAGGUUGGCUCAGCGCGGUCGGUAAUCGCGCCUAUAGAGUGUAACGGCAGAAGCCAGCCUGACGGUGAGACCGACGGGUCGAACCGAGACGAAAGUCGGCCGUAGUGAUCCGGUAGACCGGUGUGGAUCGGCUAUCGCGCAACGGAUAAAAGGUACGCUGGGGAUAACAGGCUUAUCGCGCCCGAGAGUUCACAUCGACGGCGCGGUUUGGCACCUCGAUGUCGGCUUGUCACAUCCUGGGGCUGGAGAAGGUCCCAAGGGUCCGGCUGUUCGCCGGUUAAAGUGGCACAUGAGCUGGGUUCAGAACGUCGUGAGACAGUUCGGUCUGUAUCCGUCGUGGGCGUUGGAGGGUUGAGGGGUGCGAACUCUAGUACGAGAGGACCGAGUUGGACGAUCCGCUCGUGUCCCGGCUGUGGCGCCAGCUGCAACGCCGGGUAGCGAUGAUCGGUGGCGAUAACCGCUGAAAGCAUCUAAGUGGGAAGCGUCCCCCAAGAUGAACCCUCCCUGGGAACUUGAUUCCCCUAAAGGGCCGGAGGAGACUACUCCGUCGAUAGGCAACAAGUGGAAGUAGCGCAAGCUAUUACGAGCUCAGUUGUCCUAAUCGCCCGUGCGGCUUGACUG
Molecule: ribosomal RNA, 1648 nt
Filed under: metagenome
Description: bacterial LSU rRNA
Rfam family: Bacterial large subunit ribosomal RNA
Source: RNAcentral